This 446-nucleotide ribosomal RNA is filed under the name uncultured bacterium. RNAcentral's name for it is "partial 16S ribosomal RNA". It matches the Rfam family "Bacterial small subunit ribosomal RNA", at positions 329 to 792 of the family's 1533-position model. The record is from RNAcentral.
UCCCAGACUCCUACGGGAGGCAGCAGUGGGGAAUAUUGCACAAUGGGGGAAACCCUGAUACAGCGACGCCGCGUGAGCGAUGAAGUAUUUCGGUAUGUAAAGCUCUAUCAGCAGGGAAGAAAAUGACGGUACCUGACUAAGAAGCCCCGGCUAACUACGUGCCAGCAGCCGCGGUAAUACGUGGGGGGCAAGCGUUAUCCGGAUUUACUGGGUGUAAAGGGAGCGUAGACGGCAAUGCAAGCCAGAUGUGAAAGCCCGGGGCUCAACCCCGGGACUGCAUUUGGAACUGUGUAGCUGGAGUGUCGGAGAGGCAGGCGGAAUUCCUAGUGUAGCGGUGAAAUGCGUAGAUAUUAGGAGGAACACCAGUGGCGAAGGCGGCCUGCUGGACGGUGACUGACGCUGAGGCUCGAAAGCGUGGGGAGCAAACAGGAUUAGAUACCCCAGUA